RNAcentral lists this ribosomal RNA (253 nucleotides) under uncultured bacterium. RNAcentral's name for it is "partial 16S ribosomal RNA". It matches the Rfam family "Bacterial small subunit ribosomal RNA", at positions 524 to 776 of the family's 1533-position model. The record is from RNAcentral.
UACGUAGGUGACGAGCGUUAUCCGGAUUUAUUGGGCGUAAAGCGUACGCAGGCGGUUUUUUAAGUUUGACGUGAAACCUCCCGGCUUAACUGGGAGAAUGCGUUGAAAACUGGAGAACUUGAGGCAAUGAGAGGUAUGCAGAAUUCCCGGUGUAGUGGUGGAAUGCGUAGAUAUCGGGGGGAAUACCAGUGGCGAAAGCGGCAUACCAGCAUUGUACUGACGCUCAUGUACGAAAGCGUGGGUAGCAAACGGG